This is a long non-coding RNA of Gallus gallus (chicken), 528 nucleotides long. NCBI's taxonomy places the organism in Eukaryota, Metazoa, Chordata, Aves, Galliformes, Phasianidae. The record is from Ensembl.
AAUGGCACCCAGCGAUCGUGCAAGCCUCCCUUUCUGCUGCCUCACCCAACCUGUAGGGAUUUAUCCAAGUGCAUUAAAUAGAAGAGCUUUCCACGGGAACAAAAAAUAUUGUUUGACUGGGCUGAAUAACUGACAGUAGUGUGAAUUGCAAAGGGACGACAUCAACACAGACUGAAUAUUCAGCAUGAAUGCUGACAUUUCUUGAACUAUGCAUAAUAGCUGGGAAGAACAAGCACAUUUCCGGAGACUUGUUGGGAGAAAUCCAUAAGAAGUAUUAGACUAUGACCAGGUAACCCCACCGGAGCAGUCCAACAUCUUUAGGAAAACUGUGUGGACUAUGAGUAUCCCGGCUUCCAGGAGCUCUGCACUCCCCCAUCACACACCCCAGGGAUGAUGAAGACCCAUCUGCCUCAGCUCAUCUCCCAGACCCUUCAUACACAUUUCACUGUGACCAGUGCUGUCACAAGUGAUGGCGUACCUGCCUCGCUGGAACCAGAUGCACGUUCUACUGUCUGCUCAGUUGCCAAG